Molecule: ribosomal RNA, 497 nt
Filed under: uncultured bacterium
Lineage: Bacteria
Description: partial 16S ribosomal RNA
Rfam family: Bacterial small subunit ribosomal RNA
Source: RNAcentral
GAUGAACGCUGGCGGCGUGCCUAAUACAUGCAAGUCGAGCGAACGGACGAGAAGCUUGCUUCUCUGAUGUUAGCGGCGGACGGGUGAGUAACACGUGGAUAACCUACCUAUAAGACUUGGAUAACUUCGUGAAACCGGAUCUAAUACCGGAUAAUAUUUUGAACCGCAUGGUUCAAAAGUGAAAGACGGUCUUGCUGUCACUUAUAGAUGGAUCCGCGCUGCAUUAGCUAGUUGGUAAGGUAACGGCUUACCAAGGCAACGAUGCAUAGCCGACCUGAGAGGGUGAUCGGCCACACUGGAACUGAGACACGGCCCAGACUCCUACGGGAGGCAGCAGUAGGGAAUCUUCCGCAAUGGGCGAAAGCCUGACGGAGCAACGCCGCGUGAGUGAUGAAGGUCUUCGGAUCGUAAAACUCUGUUAUUAGGGAAGAACAUAUGUGUAAGUAACUGUGCACAUCUUGACGGUACCUAAUCAGAAAGCAACGGCUAACUACGUG